CUAACCUUAAUUAAAUAUGUCUGAAGACAUUCUUACCUACCUAUAUUAUUUCUAUUCCAUAUACAUCUAGAAAACAUUGUAAUUGUUUUAGGUAAUUGUGUGAAAGGUCAGAAAAUUUUAUAACAGCUUUAAUAAGGCCAUUGUUUUAUUGUGGACUGUAGGAUGAUAGUUUGGGGACUUCCAAACAUAUCUCUGGAGAAAGAUCCAGGAACGUGCAUUCACACAGGCAUACUUAGAUAAUGCUGAUGUUAUCAGAAUUAAAUUUCUCUUUGCGUCAAAAUCCCCUGGGAUCUUUUAAAAAAAUGUAGAUGCUUACCCCAUCCUCCACCCCCCCAAACCUCAUCCAAGUAUUCUCUUUCAGUGAUGGGGUUCAGGUGAUGCUAUCUACGCUAACUCUAUAAGCACAUUAAUGUACAGCCAUGGCAGAUCACCAAUGCUCCAAGGCUUCCCAAGCUUGAAUGUGCAAAUCAUCCGGAUACCCUGAGAUAAUACAGAUUCUGAUUCAGUAAGUCCGGGGUAGGACCUAAGAUCCUGCAUUCUUAACAGGCUUUCGGGUGGUGUCCAGGCUACUGCUUCACAUACUACACACUGAGUAGCAAUGACCUGUACAUUUUUAAUGGUAAAUCAACCUUGACACAGCCAGAUAUGUCACAGAUGAAGUAGAUAAGAAACUGGCACUAGUAACUAUCCAAUGUGUUAGGGCAGGCGUUAAGACCACAGAUCCUGUUAGACAUUUUAGGAAAAGUCCAGUCUACCAGCCAAAGAUGAUAUUGAAGUUUAUGACUUAUUUCUGAAUUAUGAUGUAGUAAUAUACUACAUCGAGAAAAAGCAAAUGCACUGUAGUGAAAGGGGACAACAUUAAUUUUGUAGCUAUUAAGUCUGCAGUAGUAGGAAAUACAUAAUAUUUGAAUUUAUUUUAUAAGGCACAUACAAUGGAACUUGAGCAAUUUAAUAGUUUCUUUUUGGAACACUUUUUUUUUUUUUUUAAACAGGAAAGUCCAUUUUGAUGUUAUGCAUUUAAAAGACAAACUAGGUAUUAGAGAAGUUAACAUUUAGCUUUUGGAAAACAUUGACUUGGUAGCAGGGAGUCUGUUCUCCUUGCUGUUACCCUGAACAUUUCAAUUUCAGAAAGUUGCAUGACUUUCGAAUCUCCUCCAUGUAAGACAUUCUACUUGACAUAAGGAUUUAUUUCUGGCUUUCCAUCAGUUUCUAAUUAAUAGCACCACUGUGUGUUACAUGAUGUGAGAAUUGAAAAUCUCUAAACAGUACCACAGGAACACCACAUUGCACUUCUACUUGAAAAAACACCUGAUCAGUUACCCAGCUGUUUCCUCCAGAUGUUGUCUGUAAACUCAAAGGUCAUAGUUUCACUAAAACUAAGAUUAAUUUGACUUUAUCUUGCCGUUAAAAAAAACACAGCUAUUAAAAUCAAGUUUUAAAUAGCCACAAGUAUACACAAUCAAAACAUGCAGAACUUACAAAAUAUAUAUAUUUUAAAGAAUUUCUGUCCACUUUUACAAAUCUAAGUGCAAAAAAUAGUUUGUAUGAUUUAUAAAUAAAGCAUAGAGUGAUAGAAUUUUACUGUUUUUAAGAAAAAAGCAUUAUCUUCCCUCUGAAUGAACUCUCAUGAAGUAAAAAAGCAUAUCAUUAUUUGUGCAGAAUAAUGACAGAAUUUAGUUUAAGAGGAAAAACUCAGCAAAUGGUGAAUGCUUUUGAGAUGGGAAAUAAAAUAUAAUAUCAGUAGAUUCCCUUUCUAGUCCUUAUUUGCAAAACACAAUUGACUCAAUGUAAAAGAUUGUGUGUGUGUGUGUGUUUUACUUUACAGACUUUUUGCUUAACAACAUGAUUCUACUGCAUUGCAUAUGAUCCUAUAAUAACAGGAUAUUAUUAGAGUCUUAGGCAUUAAAAUUUGUCCUUCAUAAAUGGUGUUAUGGCAUUUAAUUAUAAGUAUACUAUUUUAUAAUAAAAUCAUAAUGCAAAUGUAAAUCCCGCACUAACUCUGCAUUUGAUUAACCAAAUAUCUCUGUAAUUCUAUAAUUUUUAUGUCUUAUAUAGAUUCAAAAUUGUAAAAUGAGAUUUAAACUUGGAUUAUUCUAUUGAUGGGAAUGUAAUUUAUCUUCAUUAAUUGUAUGUUUCAUCUAUUACUCACCAGAAUAAAAUAAAAGUCUUAUGGAAAACUAUAGCAAUAGUAUUUAUUAAAUGAGUAUUUACCAAGUCUGAUUGUGAAUAUGGCCUUGGGUAUGUACUCUUCCCUAAACUAUGGUUCUCUAUGUAAUACUAAGAGCAUGACAUGUAUGCAUCAAUAUUUAUUUCUAAGAUCCAUGUCCCCUAUGACCAAGCAUAAUUUGGUUUAUAAAUAAAUAUUCCUUUCUUGUUUUCAAAAAUUAUUGUGCAUUAAAUUAGUAGUCCUUCCUUUAAAAGGAAAAAAAAACCUUUGAACUAU
Molecule: long non-coding RNA, 2443 nt
Filed under: Lynx pardinus (Iberian lynx)
Lineage: Eukaryota; Metazoa; Chordata; Mammalia; Carnivora; Felidae
Source: RNAcentral